This 834-nucleotide ribosomal RNA is filed under the name Pseudocercospora vitis. RNAcentral describes it as "eukaryotic LSU rRNA". It matches the Rfam family "Eukaryotic large subunit ribosomal RNA", at positions 75 to 941 of the family's 3401-position model. Lineage: Eukaryota; Fungi; Ascomycota; Dothideomycetes; Mycosphaerellales; Mycosphaerellaceae. The record is from RNAcentral.
UUGCCCUAGUAACGGCGAGUGAAGCGGCAACAGCUCAAAUUUGAAAUCUGGCGCAAGCCCGAGUUGUAAUUUGUAGAGGAUGCUUCUGGGUAGCGGCCGGUCUAAGUUCCUUGGAACAGGACGUCAUAGAGGGUGAGAAUCCCGUAUGUGACUGGCUUGCACCCUCCACGUAGCUCCUUCGACGAGUCGAGUUGUUUGGGAAUGCAGCUCUAAAUGGGAGGUAAAUUUCUUCUAAAGCUAAAUACCGGCCAGAGACCGAUAGCGCACAAGUAGAGUGAUCGAAAGAUGAAAAGCACUUUGGAAAGAGAGUUAAAAAGCACGUGAAAUUGUUGAAAGGGAAGCGCCCGCAACCAGACUUUGCGGCAGUGUUCCGCCGGUCUUCUGACCGGUCUACUCGCUGUCGUGAGGCCAUCAUCGUCUGGGACCGCUGGAUAAGACCUUAGGAAUGUAGCUCCCUUCGGGGAGUGUUAUAGCCUCUGGUGAUGCAGCGCGUCUCGGGCGAGGUCCGCGCUUCGGCAAGGAUGAUGGCGUAAUGGUUGUCGGCGGCCCGUCUUGAAACACGGACCAAGGAGUCUAACAUCUAUGCGAGUGUUCGGGUGUCAAACCCCUACGCGUAAUGAAAGUGAACGGAGGUGGGAACUUUUUGUGCACCAUCGACCGAUCCUGAUGUCCUCGGAUGGAUUUGAGUAAGAGCAUAGCUGUUGGGACCCGAAAGAUGGUGAACUAUGCCUGAAUAGGGUGAAGCCAGAGGAAACUCUGGUGGAGGCUCGCAGCGGUUCUGACGUGCAAAUCGAUCGUCAAAUUUGGGUAUAGGGGCGAAAGACUAAUCGAACC